This is a long non-coding RNA of Triticum aestivum (bread wheat), 855 nucleotides long. RefSeq lists it as uncharacterized. NCBI's taxonomy places the organism in Eukaryota, Viridiplantae, Streptophyta, Magnoliopsida, Poales, Poaceae. The transcript has 3 exons. The record is from RefSeq and is a predicted model, not a curated record.
UCGCCUCGUUGACUCGUACUCGAGCACUGAACAAAGAGAGCAGCGGCGGCGCCCCCUCCCCAUCCGGCGUUUCUCUACCUUCCCCUAAAAACUCCGUCGAUCCCUCCGGCGAAGUCCUCUCCCGCUUUCCUACAUCGGGUCUCCUCUGACCACCCUUGUGCGACAUCCUACUCCAAAAAAAAGGCGGUCAGGUGCGCCCCUGCUCUCUUCGCAUGAAGCAAUCCAGUACUCCGAAUGCCCCCCUGCCAACGGUGCUGCUGGCCACGGCGCUUUGUAACGCCCCAUUCCAAUUUGGUUGCAGGAUUUGAAAAAAUAGUCACUCCAUCACCAGGGCCUCUAGUUUUCGAAUAACUUGGUGCAUGCUGUGAUGUAACAAGUGCUUUGCCUAUUUGCGGCUAAAUUGAGGGACGAGGCUGUGGAGCAAGGGGAAGCCGCUGCACUUGACAGAGCGAGGGGAAAUGCGGUCGUGCAGUAUUACGUAUGCUGUAUCUGAAUGUCGAGGGAGUUACCAUGUCGCGCUGUUUUUCUGAAUGGUUUUUGGGUGAGCGUGCACGUUAUCCCUGUAACACCGGAAGCCCAGGCAGCAAGGCAUGUUCUGCUGUUCUGAAGGAUUCAAGGUUUGACAGGGUUAUCUUAGCUUCAGACUGUCUUUAUUUGGCUAACAAGCUGAACUUUUCCUUGCUGGACAGAACGUCUGCUGGAUAUACAUGAUGCCGGCGUUGUGUGGGUUGACGAAGCCCUGGAACCGUUCCGUCCUCUCGUUUGUACUGAACAAGUUUUUUUUUUAAGAUGGAUAAACAAGUUUGGCAAAACGGUGACUCUUUAGGAAAAUAUAAUUCUACUGAGUUGAGUUAA